CCUACGGGUGGCAGCAGUGGGGAAUAUUGGACAAUGGGCGAAAGCCUGAUCCAGCCAUGCCGCGUGUGUGAAGAAGGCCUUCGGGUUGUAAAGCACUUUCAGUGGGGAAGAAAGCCUUGGGGCUAAUACCCUCGAGGAAGGACAUCACCCACAGAAGAAGCACCGGCUAACUCCGUGCCAGCAGCCGCGGUAAUACGGAGGGUGCGAGCGUUAAUCGGAAUUACUGGGCGUAAAGCGCGCGUAGGCGGUCUGAUAAGCCGGUUGUGAAAGCCCCGGGCUCAACCUGGGAACGGCAUCCGGAACUGUCAGGCUAGAGUGCAGGAGAGAAAGGUAGAAUUCCCGGUGUAGCGGUGAAAUGCGUAGAGAUCGGGAGGAAUACCAGUGGCGAAGGCGGCCUUCUGGACUGACACUGACGCUGAGGUGCGAAAGCGUGGGUAGCAAACAGGAUUAGAUACCCGAGUAGUC
This 465-nucleotide ribosomal RNA is filed under the name Vreelandella stevensii. Its description in RNAcentral is "partial 16S ribosomal RNA". It matches the Rfam family "Bacterial small subunit ribosomal RNA", at positions 338 to 795 of the family's 1533-position model. Lineage: Bacteria; Pseudomonadati; Pseudomonadota; Gammaproteobacteria; Oceanospirillales; Halomonadaceae. The record is from RNAcentral.